RNAcentral lists this ribosomal RNA (817 nucleotides) under Helix figulina. RNAcentral's name for it is "partial large subunit ribosomal RNA". Lineage: Eukaryota; Metazoa; Mollusca; Gastropoda; Stylommatophora; Helicidae. The record is from RNAcentral.
AUUAAUUAUAUAAAAUUAGAUAAUAUAUCACGAAUAAAAGUGAGCUAAAUAUACAUAUAUUUAGUGUUAUAGCACGUAGCAUAGUGUGAAAAAUAUAUAUUUAGGGGUGAUAGGCCUUCCAAACUUUUUGAUAACUUGUUGCACAUGAAACGUAUUAAGUACAUAGACAUACUUAAAAAGUUAAGCUUUUAAGUGUUUAUUAAAAAUAUUAAAUAUUUUUAACACAGAAUAAUUUCUGGUUAUAAAAUAUUUUCGCAUUAAGUUUAUAUUUUUAUAUUUAUUAGUGUGUCAGUUUAUAUUAUUGUUCUUAUUUGACAAUGUUAAUAUUAGUAGUAUAAAUAAAUACAUUUAAGGAACUCGGCAAUAUUACCAUUCAACUGUUUACCAAAAACAUAGCUACUUGAGUUAAUAAGUAGUUAUUUCUGCUCCAUGAUAAUUAAAUAGCCGCAGUACCCUGACUGUGCAAAGGUAGCAUAAUCAGUUGGCUCUUAAUUAGAGUCUGGAAUGAAUGAAAACAUGGAUGGUAACUAUCUAAGUGUAUUUUUUUGAACUUAAUAAAUAAGUGAAAAUACUUAUAUUAAUAUAAUAGACGAGAAGACCCUAGAAACUUGAAUUGAUUUUUGUUGGGGCGACAAAAUUACAUUUAACUAAUUUUUUUAAACGGGACGUUAAAACGAAAGAAUAAGUUACUCUAGGGAUAACAGCAUAAUUUUAAUAGUUUGUGACCUCGAUGUUGGACUAGGUAUUAUAUCCUUAAGAGAAGGAUAUAAGGUGCUCUGUUCGAGCAAAUACACCUACAUGAUCUGAGUUCAGACCG